AGGGUUUGAUCAUGGCUCAGAUUAAACGCUAGCGGCAUGCCUUACACAUGCAAGUCGAACGGCAGCGGGCUCUUCGGAGUGCCGGCGAGUGGCAAACGGGUGAGUAAUACAUCGGAACAUGCCCAGUAGUGGGGGAUAGCUCGGCGAAAGCCGAAUUAAUACCGCAUACGACCUUCGGGUGAAAGGGGGGGAUCUUCGGACCUCUCGCUAUUGGAGUGGCCGAUGCCUGAUUAGUUUGUUGGUGGGGUAACGGCCUACCAAGACUGCGAUCAGUAGCUGGUCUGAGAGGACGAUCAGCCACACUGGGACUGAGACACGGCCCAGACUCCUACGGGAGGCAGCAGUGGGGAAUCUUGGACAAUGGGCGAAAGCCUGAUCCAGCAAUGCCGCGUGUGCGAUGAAGGCUUUCGGGUUGUAAAGCACUUUUGUCAGGGAAGAAAUGGUUCGGGCCAAUACCUCGAACUUCUGACGGUACCUGAAGAAUAAGCACCGGCUAACUACGUGCCAGCAGCCGCGGUAAUACGUAGGGUGCAAGCGUUAAUCGGAAUUACUGGGCGUAAAGCGUGCGCAGGCGGUUUACUAAGACAGGUGUGAAAUCCCCGGGCUUAACCUGGGAACUGCAUCCAAAACUAACUCACUAGAGUACGAUAGAGGGAGGUAGAAUUCAUAGUGUAGCGGUGGAAUGCGUAGAUAUUAUGAAGAAUACCAGUGGCGAAGGCGGCCUCCUGGAUCUGUACUGACACUAAGGUGCGAAAGCGUGGGUAGCGAACAGGAUUAGAUACCCUGGUAGUCCACGCCGUAAACGAUGACAACUAGCUGUUGGGAGACAAUGUCUUUCAGUGGCGCAGCUAACGUUUUAAGUUGUCCGCCUGGGGAGUACGGCCGCAAGGCUAAAACUCAAAUGAAUUGACGGGGACCCGCACAAGCGGUGGAGCAUGUGGUUUAAUUCGAUGCAACGCGAAAAACCUUACCUACUCUUGACAUACUUGGAAGCUCUUGUAAUGAGAGUGUGCCUUUUGGAGCCAAGAUACAGGUGCUGCAUGGCUGUCGUCAGCUCGUGUCGUGAGAUGUUCCGUUAAGUCGGAUAACGAGCGCAACCCUUACCCUUAUUUGCCAGCGAUUCGGUCGGGAACUAUAAGGGGACUGCCGGUGAUAAACCGGAGGAAGGUGAGGACGACGUCAAGUCAUCAUGGCCCUUACGAGUAGGGCUACACACGUGCUACAAUGGGGAAUACAGACGGACGCUAAGCCGCGAGGUGGUGCUAAUCCUAUAAAGUUCUUCGUAGUCCGGAUUGGAGUCUGCAACUCGACUCCAUGAAGUCGGAAUCGCUAGUAAUCGUGGAUCAGCACGCCACGGUGAAUACGUUCCCGGGCCUUGUACACACCGCCCGUCACACCAUGGGAGUUGGUUUUACCCGAAGACGAUAUCCUAACCUUUUGGAGGGAGUCGGCCACGGUAGGGUCAGCGACUGGGGUGAAGUCGUAACAAGGUAACCGUA
RNAcentral lists this ribosomal RNA (1499 nucleotides) under uncultured bacterium. RNAcentral describes it as "partial 16S ribosomal RNA". It matches the Rfam family "Bacterial small subunit ribosomal RNA". The record is from RNAcentral.